UUUCCCCUGCGAUGUUGGUGAAGGAGAAGUAGGUUUUGUUCCAACAGCGUAUAAUUUGGGAGUCCGGGGUCAUUUCAUGGUGAGCAUUCCUUAAGAUGGGGAAGCCUAAAGUGAAAGCAGGACACCCACUUGCUUUAUCGGGUUCAAAGCGAAACUCCUCACGGCAUCGCGGGGGUUUC
Molecule: non-coding RNA, 179 nt
Filed under: bacterium (candidate division B38) B3_B38
Lineage: Bacteria
Description: 6S RNA
Rfam family: 6S / SsrS RNA
About the family: E. coli 6S RNA was the first non coding RNA to be sequenced, but its function was unknown until recently. It consists of 184 nucleotides that fold into an extended hairpin structure with a large single-stranded internal bulge.
Source: RNAcentral